RNAcentral lists this unclassified non-coding RNA (190 nucleotides) under uncultured Russula. RNAcentral describes it as "sequence contains ITS1". Lineage: Eukaryota; Fungi; Basidiomycota; Agaricomycetes; Russulales; Russulaceae. The record is from RNAcentral.
UCGUACAACCGAGGCCUCCGGGCUGUCGCUGACCUUCCAAGGUUGUGCACGCCCGAGCGCUCUCACACAAUCCAUCUCACCCCUUUGUGCAUCACCGCGUGGGUCUUCCCUUUGCGGGGAGGGCCUGCGUUUUCACAUAAAACCCGAUACAGUGUAGAGUGUUUAUUUUUGCGGUCAUACGCAAUCAAUA